Molecule: ribosomal RNA, 409 nt
Filed under: uncultured bacterium
Lineage: Bacteria
Description: bacterial SSU rRNA
Rfam family: Bacterial small subunit ribosomal RNA
Source: RNAcentral
AUGGGAACGCGAAGAACCUUACCUACUCUUGACAUCCAGAGAACUUAGCAGAGAUGCUUUGGUGCCUUCGGGAACUCUGAGACAGGUGCUGCAUGGCUGUCGUCAGCUCGUGUUGUGAAAUGUUGGGUUAAGUCCCGCAACGAGCGCAACCCUUAUCCUUUGUUGCCAGCGGUCCGGCCGGGAACUCAAAGGAGACUGCCAGUGAUAAACUGGAGGAAGGUGGGGAUGACGUCAAGUCAUCAUGGCCCUUACGAGUAGGGCUACACACGUGCUACAAUGGCGCAUACAAAGAGAAGCGACCUCGCGAGAGCAAGCGGACCUCAUAAAGUGCGUCGUAGUCCGGAUUGGAGUCUGCAACUCGACUCCAUGAAGUCGGAAUCGCUAGUAAUCGUAGAUCAGAAUGCUACGG